Candidatus Kaiserbacteria bacterium is the source of this 72-nucleotide non-coding RNA. Lineage: Bacteria; Candidatus Kaiseribacteriota. The record is from Rfam.
GCCGACGUAGCUCAGCGGCAGAGCGGCACUUUUGUAAAGUGCGGGUCGUGGGUUCAAGUCCCACCGUCGGCU